CUUAUCUUGCCUCCGUUUUAAAAUUACUGCAAUAUUCGCACUUCUAAAAUCGAACUUUACAGACUUUGACUACAAUCUGAGAAUGGUAGAUAGUUUGAGAAUGUCAAAUUAUUGUAUACAGUGCAAAUGAGCGUGUUGUAUUAAUUUUGUGGCCCAGAUUAGCUUUUCUUCUGUUUUGAUGGCUAAUUCCAUAAUCCAUUACCAUACUAGGGUUGUCGGCCCAUAUAGUCGGACUUCUGCCCUAACUACUUUAUUAAGCCGGUUGAUGAACUGAUCUUUUGUUAUCUCUUCUAGAAUCACUUUUAAGGGAGCUAAGAUUUCAAUGAAUUUUCUUUGUUGGUGAGAGAGCUAGUGCUUAUGAAGAGUUCUGGCACUACUCAGCCGAAAUUGGCGGAGUAAUAACCCCUUGAGCUCCUCCCAUUCUCCCACUGAAAUCAAAAUACGGCAUCAUCUUCCAACGCCACGUCCACCACCUCGACCUUCUCUAGCCACUUAAACUUGAAGUACCUUUAGGCUUUAUUAGUAUCCAGCUACCAUCAAACAUGGAUAAAUUUAACUUCUUAAACCUCUGGUUAGCCAAUGUUGCAUUUUUGGAGUUAUGGGGCCCUUCUCCUAUUGACCGGAAAAGGAAAUCUUUCAACUCUUCUUCUUUCCUAGGUGAUCCCUUCUGGGUUGUUGGACAAGUCCCCUUGUUGUUCAGCGCGAAGAUUGUUACUUUUAUCUCCUCCCGAACUUUUUCAUACUCUUCCCACAUCUGGUUGAUAAGGGCAUCUUGGUUUUCUAUGGAAUAAACUAUUCUUCCAAAGGUUCUCGAUGAUCUUCGUUGUGGUUAAAUGUAACCCCGCAAGAUCUCGACUGAGUUGUCAGAGCUUUUGGAGCUAUCAGGGUUCCAUGCCAGUGAUGAUUUUGGGGGAGAUUAUCCUUGCUCUGAUACUAAGUUGUUGGGAAUUAGUGAACAAGAAAAUUAUAAGAGGGAAAGCUAGGGAUAUCUUGUAUGAAAUUGGAUCAAAGAUCAAGAACCGAAUACAACUUGUUGCCUCUCGAGAGGUGAGUUGUCGCCAAAAGAGAAUGCGAAUUAUCAAAUAUCUCAUUACCUCUAAUAUUCCCUCAUGCCCUAUUUAUAGUGCUCUAGCUUAGUGCUCACAUUCUCUUUCUAUUACAUAACCCUCUUUUACCCACUAAAUCAAUGCAAGGAACAAAAGGAAUGAUCGGUACAAAAUAGAAACAGAAUAAUGGAAUACUUUGUGUCCUAUUGCCCUAGUUGUCAUGCUGAGGUGUCUAGUUGAGGUGAGAUACCCUUCCUAGCGCUUCUUGUGUAUGUGAUGAGGUUAUGGUCGACUUGAUCCCUUGCCGAUAGGAGCGGGCGAAAUGUGAAUUCUUAAGUCUCCACAUGCUCACUUUUAUCAUCCAAAAAUAUCCUAUUUGGUUAAGAAAAUACCUAUUUUGCUGCGAAUUCUUAAGUCUAGACAUACUCACUUUUUAUCAUCUCAGAGGCUCUUAUUUGGGUAAGGAAAUACCUAUUUUGCCGCCAUACAUGGCCAAAUUUUAAUGCAAAUGCUUUGUGCAUGGAAGAUUUGUCAAUCAUGGGAGAAUCAUGUGUCAUGGACAUGGCAGAUGUCCUAAGUUAUUAUUGUAUAUGGGUUAAUGCUUGCCGAUCAGACAUCAUAUGGUAAUAAUCUCUAUUUGGAUGUGAGAUCCAUCUGCUUCAAUCACUCACAACAAGGAAGUAGAAUACAGAAAUAAGAGGAAAGGGUUUAGGAUGGCAAAAGGAGGUUGAUAGAUUGGAGAUAACUUCUAAGCAUUCGAAAGACGCAGUCUAUCCCGGUACAAGCUACUAAUAACAAACAUAUGUGAUGAGGUGAAAUGGGCUCAUUACAUUACCUUGCCCCCAAAGACUCACCUUGUCCUCAAGGUGGAAGGAUGAAAAACGAGCAUGAAUGGAUGUCAUGUUCUCCAGAUGCAAUUGUGUCCAUUUCAGCAAGACUUAAGUUCUUUCGGCACCCCCUCUUUCACUUGUCUGACAUCUAGCAAUGCUUCUGGUUGAAUCACUAAUUCCAGAAUUCAACUCUUUCGGAAUGGUAGGGGAAAUUAACUCAUCGCCUACUGCAUGCUUCAGUUGAGACACGUGAAAUGCAGGGUGAAUUUUGCUUGAAGGAGGCAGCUCCAAAGUGUAUGCCGAUGUACCUACCUUGUUGAUAAUGGGAAAUGGACCAUAGAAACGUGUCACUAGCUUCUCAAAAGGCCUCCUAGAAAAAGAUUUUCGCUGAUAAGGGCGUAAUUUCAGAUACACCAAGU
This is a long non-coding RNA of Beta vulgaris subsp. vulgaris (sugar beet), 2295 nucleotides long. RefSeq lists it as uncharacterized. Lineage: Eukaryota; Viridiplantae; Streptophyta; Magnoliopsida; Caryophyllales; Amaranthaceae. The record is from RefSeq and is a predicted model, not a curated record. The transcript has 2 exons.